UACGUAGGGAGCGAGCGUUGUCCGGAUUCAUUGGGCGUAAAGAGCUCGUAGGCGGCCUGUUGCGUCCGCUGUGAAAUCCCGGGGCUCAACCCCGGGCCUGCAGUGGAUACGGGCUGGCUAGAGGCAGGCAGGGGAGAACGGAAUUCCUGGUGUAGCGGUGAAAUGCGCAGAUAUCAGGAGGAACACCGGUGGCGAAGGCGGUUCUCUGGGCCUGUACUGACGCUGAGGAGCGAAAGCGUGGGGAGCGAACAGG
Molecule: ribosomal RNA, 253 nt
Filed under: uncultured bacterium
Lineage: Bacteria
Description: partial 16S ribosomal RNA
Rfam family: Bacterial small subunit ribosomal RNA
Source: RNAcentral